Homo sapiens (human) is the source of this 1498-nucleotide long non-coding RNA. Ensembl annotates it as long intergenic non-protein coding RNA 2850. The record is from Ensembl. NCBI's taxonomy places the organism in Eukaryota, Metazoa, Chordata, Mammalia, Primates, Hominidae.
AUUCUGUCUUAGAAGCACAGGUAACGGUGGAAGAUCAUGGAAGUCUUCACAGAAGACAAGAUAUCAAAACAGAGCCUUGAAGGCUAAGUAGGUUUGUUUAUUUGCUUCUUUGUUUUUCCAGAUAGAAGGGGCCACAUAAGCAAAGAUGAAGAAACAUAAAAGAGCCUCAGUGUGGAUUUUUUGAAAGAAUGAGAAAGAGCACUUGAUGAAGAGUCUAGAAGUCUGUGUUUCAGUCCAAAACCUGCCAAUAAUGCUGGAAAACCUUAGAAGGUCAACAAACCCUCCUGAGGUUAAAAUUCUUCACCCCUCAAAAAGACAGGGACUUUCUGAGCCUCCUGCCCCAUAAGAUUGUCGUCAGUUUCAGACAAGAACCAAGUUGGUAAAUGCAGUUUAAAACCUACCAUGAGCCAGAGCAAAGGAAGGAAGUUUCCAAUUUUCUAUAGAUAUUUCACAUCAGACAUCAUGCAGUUUCAGUAUACUUAGUUUCCUUUGAUAUUAUCCAUAGCCUUGGCCCUCAAAUAUUUCACAUUCUUAGAUUAAUUUAAUAAUAGCCUGGUGUUGCUGCUUAUGUAUCCUACCAUAUCCACAGCCAACUAUGAAGACAAUAACUUUCUCACCUGAGAACUAAAGACUUACCUGGCUAUAGCUCCAUAUUAUAAUCUACUUAAAUUAUAAAUUAUAUGGUAUCAGACCAUCAUCUGAACCAUUUUAGAUCUAAGAGAUUUGCCAUGUCCUCAUAUACUGUCUAUUAUAAUCUGAUUCUUCUUUCAGUCCACAAAUAUUUAUUAAGCAAACACUCUGCAAAGUUCCAGCAACAGAGACACUUGGAAGUAGCUAGAAACUAGGAAAUUAAGAAAGAAUACACUUUAUACAAUGUGAAUUCUAGGAGGAUUUUGUGGGAAAAAAAAUUUUAAGGGAAGAUAUGUUUUCAGAGUUUUACACUUAAUUAUUAAAAAUUACAAUGAUUUUCAAAAUGUAUCUUUGACAGUGGAGAUUAUGUUUUGUCUGGUAAUCGAUCAGCUUUUUCUUUUAACCAACAGUUCAUCUAAAACAUUUUACCAAAUCCAAAGAUAAGAGAAUUUACAGUGAAGUUUGGAGGGUAGGGAACCCAAAAUCAACUGAUAGGAAACUAAAGUUUCCUUGGAUAGAGCCUGCAUGAAAUCUCUGCACUUAUGUAUAGACCUGCUCAGAGCAAUGUCUGUGGAAAUGACUUCAAAAGCUCCAAGUGCCAGAAAUAACAACUGCUCUGGAUCAAGUCCAGGAACAGAUAUUGGGACUAGAAAGAGGGAUUUUCCAAAAAUCUGAGUUUCAUUUUUAUCUAUAAUAUUGUUGAAAAAUGGAAAUGCUACUAUGUGAAACUCUGGCACUUUUUUGGCUAUAAAAAAGCCAUGUGUACAGUAUGAGCUAUCAUGCUUUAUCAAGUCUGAAGAACAGAGAAAGCCAUAGGGGAACCUUAUAAUGGUUAAUAACCUCCUAAUAAAGUACAUUUGUGCAUUGA